AUGGUAUAUUUACAAAAAGAGAAAGAGAAAAUCUGGGACUCAAAUGUUAGAGUGCCGCUGACUCUGGCGGCUGGAGCUGUCGACUCAUUCAUCCCGUUCCGCACGCUGGAGAAUGAAGCCGGCCGUCCAGCUCUUGGUCUCCAGGCCCGCGACCGUCCGCCAGCCGUUCCGAGGCCACUCCCCACCUCCGCCGUGAGUGUGGACACGCAGUGCCUGGACAUCCAGUGCGAGGAGCUGAGCGACGCUGGGUGGGCCGAGCUGCUCCCCUGCUCCAGCGGUGCCAGGCGGCCAGGCUGGACGACUGCGGCCUCACAGAGGCCAGGUGCAAGGACAUCAGCUCUGCACUCCAGGCCAACCCUGCGCUGACGGAGCUCAACCUGCGCAGCAACGAGCUGGGCGAUGCUGGCGUGCACCGUGCGCACCGCGUGCUCCAGGCCCUGCAGAGCCCCUCCUGCAAGAUCCAGCUGAGCUCCCAGAACUGCUACCUGACGGGGGCCGGCUGCGGGGUCCUGUCUGGCACACUGCACUCCCUGCCCACCCUGCAAGAGCUGCACCUCAGCGACAACCCCUUGGGGGAUGCGGGCCUGUAGCUGCUCUUCUAGGGACUCCUGGACCCCCAGUGCCGCCUGGAAAAGCUGCAGCUGGAGUACUGCAGGCUCUCAUCUGCCAGCUGCGAGCCGCUGGCCUCGGCGCUCAGGACCAAGCCGGACUUCAAGGAGCUCAAGGUCAGCAGCAACGACAUCGAUGAGGCCGGCGUCCGCGCGCUGUGCCAGGGCCUGAAGGACUUCCCCUGCCAGCUGGAGACGCUCAAGCUGAAGAACUGCGGUGCCACCUCGGACAACAGCAGGGACUUGUGCAGCAUCUUGGCUUCCAAGGCCUCCCGCGGGAGCUGGCCCUGGGCAACAACAAGCUGGGCGACGUGGGCAUCUCAGAGCUGUGCCCGGGGCUGCUGUACCCCAGCUCCAGGCUCAGGACCCUGUGGAUCUGGGAGUGUGGUCUCAACACCAAGAGCUGCAGAGACCUGUGCCGUGUCCUCAGGGCCAAGGACAGCCUGAAGGAGCUCAGCAUGGCUGGCAACAAGCUUGGGGACGAGGGUGCCCGGCUGCCGUGUGAGAGCCUGCUGGAGCCUGGCUGCCAGCUGGAGUCGCUGUGGGUGAAGUCCUGCAGCCUCACAGCUGCCUGCUGCUCCCACUUCAGCUCAGUGCUGGCCCAAAAUAAGUUUCUCCUGGACCUGCAGAUAAGCGACAACAGGCUGGGGGACGCAGGCGUGCGGGAGCCCUGGGCCAGCCCGCCUCCGGGCUGCGGUCACUCUGGCUGGGGGAAUGCGACGUGAGUGACAGGAGCUGCGGCAGCCUCGCCGCGACCCUGUUGGCCAACCACAGCCUGCGCGAGCUGGACCUCAGCAGCAACUGCCUGGGGACGCAGGCGUCCUGCAGGGGAUGGAGAGCCUGUGGCAGCCGGCCUGCCUCCUGGAGCAGCUGGUCCUGUACGACAUCUACAGGAUGUAGAUGGUCUUUGGAGAUGGAGAACCGGCUGCAGGCCCUGGAGAAGGAGAAUUCAUCCCUGAGUGUCAUCUCCUAAACCGCUUCCUGCCCGCCGGGCUCCUGAGAUCCGCUCUCCCUGGACAGCCCGGCCUCGAAGCACCCCUAGGCUCUCACCCUGCGUAUCCCAGAUUUGAAGAGAAACGCUCAGAUCAGGUUAUUUCUGCUAGUGUAUUUUGGAUACUUUAUAAUCAUUAAAACACUUUCUUGGCAAAAAAAAAAAAAAAAAAAAAA
Sapajus apella (tufted capuchin) is the source of this 1775-nucleotide RNA transcript. It is a transcript of the gene named ribonuclease inhibitor pseudogene, with no coding region annotated. Lineage: Eukaryota; Metazoa; Chordata; Mammalia; Primates; Cebidae. The record is from RefSeq and is a predicted model, not a curated record. The transcript has 2 exons.